UAUGUGUUGACGUGCUCCUGUUUUACAGUGAAUUUUUUAAUAACAAAUUGCAACAAUCAAUUGUUAAUUUAUAAUAAAUCGGUUCAUUAACUCGCUAGCUCCGUUUUGAGUGCAAAAUUAUUGCUGGAUGUCACGGAUUUUAGUUAAAAAUUGAUAUUGUUUAAAGUGUCUAAAAGCGGCCGGGUCACGAAAAGACGCUAUGGAAUUUUAUAAUAACAAAAUACCCGCAGAUUUCCUGGGAUAUGUCAAAAGUUAUAAAACCUGGACAGGCGCCAAGGCAUUUACUCCAAAAAUCGGAGCAGAUACAAAAAAAAAAGGAUGACCAGAAAUUAUUUGGACAAAUGAGUU
Aphidius gifuensis is the source of this 348-nucleotide long non-coding RNA. RefSeq lists it as uncharacterized. The transcript is spliced from 3 exons. NCBI's taxonomy places the organism in Eukaryota, Metazoa, Arthropoda, Insecta, Hymenoptera, Braconidae. The record is from RefSeq and is a predicted model, not a curated record.